UUUGACAAGCAUGCUCGGUUUUACUUAAUAAGUCCAAAGAAAUUUUAAUAUUUUAGUUUCGACCCCGUUUGGUCACUGAAAACUGUACCGAACUGCAAUCUUUAUCAGAUAGCUUUCGGAUUCUAUUUCUCUCUCUACGGGUGUCAGAAUGGUAUGAAACUUUAAAUCUAGCCUCUUUUCAUAAUUUUCUGACAUUGUGCAUUUUCUGCUAAUUUAUCUGCCCCGUUUCUCACAGAAAAUGCUAAAUCUUCUGUUUUCGCUCCGAUUUCAGCACAGGUCACUCCCAACCUAUAUUUCGCUUCUCUAAAUCCGAUAAAAUAGUAUCUCAUACUAGUUUUAUUUAUUUUCACUUUUCUACUUAAAAUCCGGUAUGUUACAUUCCACCACAACCUCACUGGAACCAUUUAAAUGUACACCGUGACUUCAUGAUUUUAGAAGU
RNAcentral lists this long non-coding RNA (439 nucleotides) under Ananas comosus (pineapple). Its description in RNAcentral is "long non-coding RNA (ACOM_LNC043102)". Lineage: Eukaryota; Viridiplantae; Streptophyta; Magnoliopsida; Poales; Bromeliaceae. The record is from RNAcentral.